This 137-nucleotide ribosomal RNA is filed under the name uncultured bacterium. Its description in RNAcentral is "partial 16S ribosomal RNA". It matches the Rfam family "Bacterial small subunit ribosomal RNA", at positions 355 to 509 of the family's 1533-position model. The record is from RNAcentral.
UGGGGAAUAUUGCACAAUGGGGGGAACCCUGAUGCAGCGACGCCGCGUGAGGGAAGAAGGUUUUCGGAUUGUAAACCUCUGUCCUCUGUGACGAUAAUGACGGUAGCAGAGGAGGAAGCCACGGCUAACUACGUGCC